Molecule: ribosomal RNA, 355 nt
Filed under: uncultured bacterium
Lineage: Bacteria
Description: bacterial SSU rRNA
Rfam family: Bacterial small subunit ribosomal RNA
Source: RNAcentral
GAUGAACGCUAGCUACAGGCUUAACACAUGCAAGUUGAGCGAUCUUCUUCGGAAGAGAGCGGCGGACGGGUGAGUAACGCGUGGGUAACCUACCCUGUACACACGGAUAACAUACCGAAAGGUAUGCUAAUACGAGAUAAUAUAUUUCAUUCGCAUGUUUGAAAUAUACAAAGCUUUUGCGGUACAGGAUGGACCCGCGUCUAGACUUAGCUAGUUGGUGAGGUAACGGCUCACCAAGGCGACGAUCAGUAGCCGACCUGAGAGGGUGAUCGGCCACAUUGGAACUGAGACACGGUCCAAACUCCUACGGGAGGCAGCAGUGGGAAUAUUGCACAAUGGGCGAAAGCCUGAUGCA